RNAcentral lists this ribosomal RNA (342 nucleotides) under Triticum aestivum (bread wheat). RNAcentral describes it as "partial small subunit ribosomal RNA". Lineage: Eukaryota; Viridiplantae; Streptophyta; Magnoliopsida; Poales; Poaceae. The record is from RNAcentral.
AUGAGUUCGUCGUAUGAUUCUUCCGAAGAAGAAUUUGAUAUGGAAGAGGAGGAGGAUCUUGCAAUGAUCCUAGCUAUGCAUAUCAAUAAAAAAUCGAAGCACGGUGGUUCGGUUAUGGGUCGGAAGAAAAUUUGGAGAGAUAGGAUCGAUGCCCAUAACAGAUUGAUGAGGCACUAUUCCAUGGAGAAUCCCACAUACCCGGAGUCGUAUUUUCGUCGCCGGUUUAGGAUGAGCACCGACUUGUUCAGGCGCAUUGCAGAGAAACUAGCGAGCCAUGACCGGUUUUUUCAGCAAAGGAGGAAUGCCGCCGGAGAGCUCGGCAUAGCACCUUUCAGAAGGUGA